Molecule: ribosomal RNA, 254 nt
Filed under: uncultured bacterium
Lineage: Bacteria
Description: partial 16S ribosomal RNA
Rfam family: Bacterial small subunit ribosomal RNA
Source: RNAcentral
UACAGAGACUGCAAGCGUUAUUCGGAUUCACUGGGCGUAAAGGGCGCGUAGGUGGCCCGGUCAGUUCGUGGUGAAAGCGCGGGGCUCAACCCUGCGUCGGCCAUGAAUACUGCCGCGGCUGGAGCACUGUAGAGGCAGGCGGAAUUCCGGGUGUAGCGGUGGAAUGCGUAGAGAUCCGGAAGAACACCGGUGGCGAAGGCGGCGACCUGGUCCUUGACUGACGCUGAGGCGCGAAAGCGUGGGGAGCAAACAGG